UCUUCUUCUUCUUCUUCUUCUAGCUUCUUCACCCACCACUUCUUCUUCUUCACCACCACCACCCCCCACUCCGGUUCUUCUACCUCCGCCACCACCACCUGCUUCGGCGAGAUCGAUCCGACAAAACAAAAAAAACUAAAAACAAAAUAAAAAAGAAACAGCAAAAUAAAUUUUUUUAUUUAAAUUACAACAUUUUUUAUUAAAAAUGAAAAUCAAAUUAAAUUAAUUAAAAUAUUUUUUUAUAUUUUGAAAACACUUAAGUGACGAAAUAUUUCGUCGCUUAAGUUGGAAAUGUUCGUCGCAUAAGUCUAUGCGACGAAUUUUUUUUCGUCACUUAGGAGGCACUUAUGCGACGAAUUACAUUUUUCGUCGCUAAGUAGUUUAGCGACGAAAUGUAAUUCGUCGCUUAAGAGGAACAUAAGCGACGAAAAUACAUUUUUCGUCGCUAGGUACUUAUGCGACACCACCUAUGCGACGACUCUUAAGCGACGAAAUUUUCGUCUCAUAAGUACUUAUUUGACGAAAUUUUACUUUUAAGCGACGAAACCAUUUCGUCACAUAAGUCCUAACUUCUAGUAGUGGAAGAGCAGCUGGGCGGACGUUGUGCAUGGGGGAAGGUACAUUGGGAAGUUAAUGAAAAAACAAAAUUGUAUGUGAUAUUAAUAAUAUUUCUAAUAUUUUUGUUGUAUCUGUAGGUACAAGGAGUGGAAGAACGAGUUGCGGACCCACUGGACUACGCACGGGAACGCAUGUUCUGGUACCCCUGCUGAGUUCCAGUACAGGGAGUACAAGUGGCGUUGGCUUCUGACAUCAGAAUUCAACAACCCUCGUAAACAGGUAUUUAAAAAAAUUAAUUAGUUAAUUUGUCAUUAAGUACGUGCGUUUUUAAAUAUUUUACUAAUAGUUUAUUUUUUCUUUGAAUGCCGUUUCCCGGGCGAACGCUCAGAACCGGCACCGCAACACAAGGAACCAUCGUGCCGGUUCUAGACUGUUCUCUGUCUUCAUGGACGAGGCGGUCAGGGAACAUCCAGAAGUCACCCGGUACGUCUAUACGUACGAGAAGACAUAUCCUGACGCCCAAGAGGAUAUUGUAAGU
Molecule: long non-coding RNA, 1096 nt
Filed under: Fragaria vesca (wild strawberry)
Lineage: Eukaryota; Viridiplantae; Streptophyta; Magnoliopsida; Rosales; Rosaceae
Description: long non-coding RNA (FVES_LNC004210)
Source: RNAcentral